AGGAGAGUUUGAUCCUGGCUCAGAACGAACGCUGGCGGCAGGCCUAACACAUGCAAGUCGAACGUGAAGCAGGAGCUUGCUCCUGUGGAAAGUGGCAGACGGGUGAGUAACGCGUGGGAAUCUACCCAGCUCUACGGAAUAACGCAGGGAAACUUGUGCUAAUACCGUAUACGUCCUCCGGGAGAAAGAUUUAUCGGAGUUGGAUGAGCCCGCGUUAGAUUAGUUUGUUGGUGGGGUAACGGCCUACCAAGACUACGAUCUAUAGCUGGUCUGAGAGGAUGAUCAGCCACACUGGGACUGAGACACGGCCCAGACUCCUACGGGAGGCAGCAGUGGGGAAUAUUGCACAAUGGGCGCAAGCCUGAUGCAGCCAUGCCGCGUGAGUGAAGAAGGCCUUAGGGUUGUAAAACUCUUUCACCGGUGAAGAUAAUGACGGUAGCCGGAGAAGAAGCCCCGGCUAACUCCGUGCCAGCAGCCGCGGUAAUACGGAGGGGGCAAGCGUUGUUCGGAAUUACUGGGCGUAAAGCGCGCGUAGGCGGACUGGUCAGUUGGGGGUGAAAUCCCGAGGCUCAACCUCGGAACUGCCCUCAAUACUGCCAGUCUAGAGUUCGGAAGAGGUAAGUGGAAUUCCUAGUGU
Molecule: ribosomal RNA, 637 nt
Filed under: uncultured bacterium
Lineage: Bacteria
Description: bacterial SSU rRNA
Rfam family: Bacterial small subunit ribosomal RNA
Source: RNAcentral